GCGGGAAACAGCUGCGCAAGUAAUCUGGUAUUUCUGUAAUAUAUUCCGCGUGCAUCUACACCGUACGUAGUGAGAAUAUAACGACGAGCAUUAACUUCUUAACCACGGAGACGUAGAGAAAGAGGAAAAACGGAAGAAAAAGAGGAGAGAUAAAGAGCAACAAAGAGAAGAAGAAAGAGAAGGGCUUCCAGUAUUUUGUGACGCCUCUCGAGCCUCUCUGCGUGCACCGGCGCCCUCACCGACGGACCUGCCGCGCCUCCACCUGGACACGUGCAGGGGGCGGCGGCGCAAACAGUGGAAACAGGUGAACCCCGGUAUAACAACCCCGGCUCCUGUGUACUCAAGCGUCGGGUCACUCUAGCGGGGUUCAGGUUCCGGCUCACCUGUCAGAUUAUGUAAAUAGCGAAGGAUUAUCACCUGUGUGGCUACCUGCUGGUGAUUACAGGGACUCAAGGGCGUGGUAAGGAGGUACUGGAAGGCGCCCCUAGUGUCCGGUGAGCCUGCGCGCGCCCACACCCACGCCACCUCGUAAGGAUGUAGGUUUAAGCACAAGCAUAGUGUUAGUCUCUCUCUCUCUCUCUCUCUCUCUCUCUCUCUCUCUCUCUCUCUC
Molecule: long non-coding RNA, 610 nt
Organism: Scylla paramamosain (green mud crab)
Lineage: Eukaryota; Metazoa; Arthropoda; Malacostraca; Decapoda; Portunidae
Exons: 4
Source: RefSeq, a predicted model, not a curated record